Molecule: long non-coding RNA, 441 nt
Organism: Lactuca sativa (garden lettuce)
Lineage: Eukaryota; Viridiplantae; Streptophyta; Magnoliopsida; Asterales; Asteraceae
Source: RefSeq, a predicted model, not a curated record
CUAAUCCUAUAUCAUUUACCCUUUCGAGACACGUGUAGCAGCUAAACAAUAACCCAAUUUAUUGCACAAUUUGUAUACCCCCCAAAUGUCAUUGCAUUAAACAUGCCAAUAACCCUAAGACGAUUUCAUUUUCUCUGGCACAACGCAUAGCAUUGUUUGUUUUCCAUUUUUCACUGGAAACUCAAUCUCAGUCUCCAUCAAUUAAAGAUCAGAAGCAAAUAAUUCAUGGGAUUGUAUUUGAAACAAAUUAGAUUGAAGAACUUUUGUUGGUGUCGAUUGCAAAUCAGGAAGAAAGUUGAGAAAUUGGAAGCUGUUAAUAGAAAUACGAAGGAAUAAUUUCUUUGAAGAUGAUAGGCAAAACACGUUCUCCUCAAAACGAAAAUGAAUAUUGGGUGUAUCUGAAAUGAUCAGGAAAUUAAUAAGCAGGUUAUGGAUUGCGGA